RNAcentral lists this long non-coding RNA (2764 nucleotides) under Salvia miltiorrhiza (redroot sage). RNAcentral's name for it is "long non-coding RNA (SMIL_LNC005899)". The record is from RNAcentral. Lineage: Eukaryota; Viridiplantae; Streptophyta; Magnoliopsida; Lamiales; Lamiaceae.
UGAGGCAGAAAACAAUAUCCACGUCUACGUAACAAAUAAAAGAUUGUUGAAACUGACAAAAGAUAACCAAGCAUACCAGAAGUGCCUUCCAGUUAAGAACCACCCCACAUCAGACAUCUGGAAAUUGAAGAGUAAAAUUAUAAGCACGGGAAACUCUAGCUAGAAGAGAAAAUGUAGUAGGAAAAAAUAACUAUUAUGUACUCCCUUUGCAACCCUCGAUUAACAACAUAUUAAUUGACAAUAUCAAAGAUUUUUCCGUGUCCAAAAACCAGACCAAGAUAGCCCCCACAUUAAGCUCCUAUUGCGAUGGUAUCAAAACCUAUUUUGUAUCUCCUGUCAUAGGGUGAGGGCCAAAUCAAUAUCCAAGUCUACAUAACAACAAAAUAACUAUAAUAGAAAGAGCAAGGGUAACCAAUUAUCAAACCAGAACUGCCUUCCAUUUAAGCUUGAUUAAAAACCACACAACAAUCAAGCAUCUGGAAAUUGAAGAGAAUAAAGAUAAGUAUGAGAAAGUCUAGGUGGAAGAUAAAUUUUAGUAGAAAAAAUUACUAUAAAAUACUCCCUCUGCUACCCUGGAUAAAACCUAUAUCAGAGACAGCGUGAAAGGUUUGAUCUGUGUCCAAUAACUUGACCAAGAUUAGCCCCACCUUAUGCUCCCUACUUUGAUAAAAUCAAAACUUAAAUUUUAUCUCCUGCCAUAGGAUGAGGAGAAAACAAUAUCCACGUCUACGUAGCAAACAAAAAACUGAUGAAAAAGAGAACCAAGCAUCAAACCAGAAGUGUCUUCAAGUUAAGAACCACACAACGACCAGACACCUGGGAUUGAAGAGUAUAACGAUGGAGAGUAUAACGAUAAGAACCAGAAACUCUGGGUAGAAUAGAAUAUGUAGAAGAUAAAAUACUAUUCUGUUCUCCAUCUGCCUCCCUCAAUAAACACUAUAUCAAUGCCGGCAUCAUAGAUUAGUCCAUGUCCAAAAACCCAACCAAGAUAGCCCCAACUUAGAGCUCCUACUUUGAUAGAAUUAAAACCUAUUUUGUAUCUCCUGUAACAGGGUGAGGCCCAAAACAAUAUCCAAGUCAACAUAACAACACAAAAACUACAUUUACAGAGCAAACGUAACCAAUUAUCAAACCAGCCUUCCCGUGAAGCUUGAUUAAGAACCACACAGAGAUCAGGCAUCUGCAAAUUGAUGAGAACAACAGUAAGCACGCGAUAGUCUAGGGAGAAGAUAAAAUGUUGUAAAAAAAAAUACUAUUCGAUACUCCCUCUGCCACACUCGAUAUUAACAGCGUCAAAGGUUUAUCUUCCGAUAACCAGAUUAGCCCCACCUUAAGCUCCUUCUUUUAAUACUUAAUUUUUAUCUCCUGUCAUAGGGUGAGGCAGAAAACAAUAUCCACGUCUACGUAACAAACAAAAAAUUGUUGAAACUGACAAAAGAUAACCAAGCAUCAAACCAGAAGUGCCUUCCAGUUAAGAACCACUGAACCACACAACGAAUCAUCAGACAUCUGGAGAUUGAAGAGUAUAACUAUAAGCACGGGAAACUUUAGGUAGAAGAGAAAAUGUAGUAGAAAAAAAAUACUACUCCAUGUACUCUUCCUAUUGCCACCCUUGAUUAACAAUAUACCAAUGACAGCAUCAAAGAUUUUUCCGUGCCAAAAACCAGACCAAGAUAGCCCCCACAUUAAGCUCCUAUUGUGAUAGAAUCAAAACCUAUUUUGUAUCUCCUGUCACAGAGUGAGGCCCAAAACAAUAUCGAGUCUACAUAACAACAAAAGAACUAAAAUAAAGAGAGCAAAGGUAACCAAUUAUCAAACCAGAACAGCCUUCCAGUGAAGCUAGAUUAAGAAGCUCAGAGCGAUCAAGCAUCUGAAAAUUGAUGAGAACGGUAAGCAAGGGCAAGUCUAGGUAGAGGAUAAAAUGUUGUAAAAAAAUUACUAUACUAUACUUCCUCUGCAACCCUUGAUAAAAACACAAUAUCAAUUUGUCAGCGUCAAAUGUUGGUCCGUGGCCAACAACCAGACCAAGAUUAGCACCACCAUAAGUUCCUAAUUUGAUAGAAUCAAAACAUAAUUUUUAUCUCCUGUCAUAGGGUGAGGCAGAAAACAUAAAUUCAUCAUGAUGAUCUUGAGGCUCCUCACCAGCGAUUAAUCUGUGGCCAGAGAAGAGAACAAUUGAGUAAAUUCAUAACUAUCAGCGUUUCCACCAACUGCCGAUAACCAUCAAACUAUCAGCGCGAAAGGAAAAGGACAAAAUAAACCUUCUGGCUUGAGAGAUCACGAGCUAUCCAAUCGGUUGCCCUACAGAUACAAACGAAAGUAAGCCCCGAUAACCAAUACGGCAGAGGAAAUCAUGAUCUAAAUAGACCGUCAAAACUUGAACUAUAAAAUCUGCACUCGUUGCGAAUAACUGAAUAUUAACCCAAAUCAGCAGAAGGAAUCACAAUAACCGAUCUACACAAAUCAAAUACGUCAAAGUAGAUUGAACAGAAAUCCUCCGCUAGGUCAUCUAUCCUCGCCGCCAUAUGUCAUACCAGACAGGGAAGGCUAAUGGAAAUCGCAACACAAGGAGAGAGUAACCCGAUCGAAAACACAAAACUUAAUCGCCAACGAAAUCGCACCACAAAACACAAUAACCCUAGAUAUGAAUUCAGGAGAAGAGGGCCACAAUAGAAGAAAAAUAAUAGCGAAACACGCAAAGAGGGGGGAUGGGUAGGAGAAUGUGGGGAGAUAUGGUAUAUAUAGUGAGUCAUAGAGAGACUUG